UCCAGGGUAGCCUAGUGGACAUGGCAUCUGCCCGGUAAGCGGAACAUUGUGGGUUCGAUUCCCAUACCUGAAC
Molecule: transfer RNA, 73 nt
Filed under: Cordylochernes scorpioides
Lineage: Eukaryota; Metazoa; Arthropoda; Arachnida; Pseudoscorpiones; Chernetidae
Description: tRNA-Thr
Rfam family: tRNA
About the family: Transfer RNA (tRNA) molecules are approximately 80 nucleotides in length. Their secondary structure includes four short double-helical elements and three loops (D, anti-codon, and T loops).
Source: RNAcentral